This 157-nucleotide small nuclear RNA is filed under the name Lynx canadensis (Canada lynx). RNAcentral's name for it is "U2 spliceosomal RNA (ENSLCNG00005008567.1)". It matches the Rfam family "U2 spliceosomal RNA". Rfam says of the family: U2 is a small nuclear RNA (snRNA) component of the spliceosome (involved in pre-mRNA splicing). The record is from RNAcentral. Lineage: Eukaryota; Metazoa; Chordata; Mammalia; Carnivora; Felidae.
AUCGCUUCUCGGCCUUUUGGCUAAGAUCAAGUGUUAAAAAUAGGCAGUAACUUUCUUCAAUUAAUAAUUUAUAUUUUCUGUCACAUAAGUGUCCAUUAGCUCGCCAUUUUUGAAUGUUUGAGAGCGUUUUUUCUUUGCAACUUUCAAACGUUCUUGU